This 578-nucleotide ribosomal RNA is filed under the name Kaloula pulchra (Malaysian narrowmouth toad). RNAcentral's name for it is "partial 16S ribosomal RNA". It matches the Rfam family "Bacterial large subunit ribosomal RNA", at positions 1809 to 2612 of the family's 2925-position model. The record is from RNAcentral. Lineage: Eukaryota; Metazoa; Chordata; Amphibia; Anura; Microhylidae.
AAAAACAUCGCCUCUUGACAAAAUAUAAGAGGUCCAGCCUGCCCAGUGACAAAGUUAAACGGCCGCGGUACCCUAACCGUGCGAAGGUAGCGCAAUCACUUGUUCUUUAAAUGAGGACUAGUAUGAAUGGCAUCACGAGGGUUGCACUGUCUCCCCUUUUUAAUCAAUGAAACUGACCCCCCCGUGAAGAGGCGGGGAUAUAACUAUAAGACGAGAAGACCCCAUGGAGCUUUAAACUCAGUAUCAACCGCCUAACAACACAUCAUUACAAUUUGGCCGAUCUGAUUACUAGUUUUCGGUUGGGGUGACCGCGGAGUAAAACAAAACCUCCACGAUGAAAGGACCUAUACUCCUAAUCAUAGAGCCACAGCUCAAAGAAUCAAAAAACUGACAUAAAUUGAUCCAAUUAAUUUGAUCAACGAACCAAGUUACCCUGGGGAUAACAGCGCAAUCCACUUCAAGAGCCCCUAUCGACAAGUGGGUUUACGACCUCGAUGUUGGAUCAGGGUAUCCCAGUGGUGCAGCCGCUACUAAAGGUUCGUUUGUUCAACGAUUAAAACCCUACGUGAUCUGAGUUC